Molecule: non-coding RNA, 1339 nt
Organism: Schizosaccharomyces pombe (fission yeast)
Lineage: Eukaryota; Fungi; Ascomycota; Schizosaccharomycetes; Schizosaccharomycetales; Schizosaccharomycetaceae
Source: the annotation of a GenBank genome assembly
CGACAAUAAAUUCAUCACGCCCCAAGACACCUGUGUGAUGUCUAUCAACGAGAUCGUAAAUUUUGGCUAAAACACUCGUUGGAGCACCACUACGAGACCAGAGUUCGCGGACAACAAUAUUGCAAAUCAAAUCAUUCGGUUUGGAAUAUUCUGAUUUGCUCAGUAAAUAACCUUUAUUAGCAGCCCACAACCCUUCAUAGAGCUUUCUACGAUUUUCAUCAAUAAAGAACUGCGGGAGAUCAACAGUUUCGGAUUUACGCAAAUUGGUUCCACUCUUGUAUUUUCCGUCAUCACGAUGGUAAAAAUGUUUAUGCUUUUUCUGAGGAACUCGCAAUGUAUGAGGUGAAGGUUUGGCAAUUGAUUGCUUCGUUUUUAAAGGAGGUGGGUUUUCAUGAACAGCUGGAAAGAUUUUGUCUGCUUUCAUAGCUGCGCGUACUGCUGACGAUGAGCCUGAAACAUCACUUGAAGAGGCAAGCAGUUGUGGAGAUGGAGAAUACUCAGAACCCAAUACAUCACGCAACUUAAAUUUCAAUACUUUUGUGGGAACAGCUGAAAAGCUUAAAACCGAACUUUGCGAAUCUUUGAGAGAGUUCUCGUCAUCGGACAUAUCACUAUCAGUAUACUGACCUGAGCCAUCAAGUAUUCCAUCACUGUAAUCGUAUUUUGAACCGUUAACUUCAUCCAUGCUGCUACGAUUAGCACCAUGUGGUACAUCUAAAGGAGCGUUUGAAGAUCCAAGGUCUUCUUUAUCUGAAGGAGCAUCAUAAAAAACAUCUCCUUCAACUUCAGAUUCUCCUCGAAUUUGACCAAGUGAAACUGAAUGACGAUGAGGAAGUGAAACUUUUGGCAGCACAGGAGCCAGGACUUGAGGGGUAGGUGCGUGAAUGAGUUUAUCCUUAUUUGCAACUAGAGUGGCAGCACUCAAAGACGCAUCAUGGGCCUUGGACGAAGAAUACGACGUUUCUUCUAUGGAGGGUGUAAGUUUUUCGGAAGCAGCCGUAAUGGCUGCAGCAUGAGCAGCUAUUUUCCUAUGAUGGAUGUCAGAAAAAGAAUUAUGCGAAGGAAUGUGCAAUGAUGACGACGACCAUUCCGUUUUAUUAGAAGGAAUUCGUUUAUGAGCAGACCCAAGCAAGUGAUCAAGGGCCUGAUCAUUAGAAAAAGAAGGUGCUUUUUCUUUAUUUUUCUGACCAGUUGCAACAAUAUGAGCGGCCAUUGUAGGAAUAUCAUCAGUUUCAUUUAUAGAGGAAUGAAUAUGCUUUUGGUUAGCAUUAGUUAAUAACGAUUUAAUAGAACGGGUAGAAGAUGCAGAUGAAUGGGACAAUUUCUUCUUCAUAGGCAA